AACGGGAGUGGCAAGCGUUAUCCGGAAUUAUUGGGCGUAAAGCGUCCGCAGGCGGUCUUGUAAGUCUGUCGUUAAAGCGUGGAGCUUAACUCCAUUUCAGCGAUGGAAACUGCAAGACUAGAGUGUGGUAGGGGCAGAGGGAAUUCCCGGUGUAGCGGUGAAAUGCGUAGAUAUCGGGAAGAACACCAGUGGCGAAGGCGCUCUGCUGGGCCAUAACUGACGCUCAUGGACGAAAGCCAGGGGAGCGAAAGGGAUUAGAUACCCCUGUAGUCCUGGCCGUAAACGAUGAACACUAGGUGUCGGGGGAAUCGACCCCCUCGGUGUCGUAGCCAACGCGUUAAGUGUUCCGCCUGGGGAGUACGCACGCAAGUGUGAAACUCAAAGGAAUUGACGGGGGCCCGCACAAGCGGUGGAGUAUGUGGUUUAAUUCGAUGCAACGCGAAGAACCUUACCAGGGUUUGACAUCCUGCGAAUCUUUUGGAAACGAGAGGGUGCCUUCGGGAACGCAGUGACAGGUGGUGCAUGGCUGUCGUCAGCUCGUGUCGUGAGAUGUUGGGUUAAGUCCCGCAACGAGCGCAACCCACGUCGUUAGUUGCCAGCAUUGAGUUGGGCACUCUAGCGAGACCGCCGGUGAUAAACCGGAGGAAGGUGUGGAUGACGUCAAGUCAUCAUGCCCCUUACAUCCUGGGCUACACACGUACUACAAUGCUACGGACAAAGGGCAGCAAACUCGCGAGAGCUAGCAAAUCCCAUAAACCGUGGCUCAGUUCAGAUCGUAGGCUGCAACUCGCCUACGUGAAGGAGGAAUCGCUAGUAAUCGCAGGUCAGCAUACUGCGGUGAAUACGUUCCCGGGCCU
This 857-nucleotide ribosomal RNA is filed under the name uncultured bacterium. RNAcentral describes it as "SSU rRNA". It matches the Rfam family "Bacterial small subunit ribosomal RNA", at positions 524 to 1381 of the family's 1533-position model. The record is from RNAcentral.